GAUGAACGCUGGCGGCGUGCCUAAUACAUGCAAGUCGAGCGAAUGAUGAGGAGCCUGCUCCUCUGAUUUAGCGGCGGACGGGUGAGUAACACGUGGGUAACCUGCCUGUAAGAUGGGGAUAACUCCGGGAAACCGGGGCUAAUACCGAAUAAUAAAAGAAGAAGCAUUUCUUCUUUUUGAAAGUUGGUUUCGGCUAACACUUACAGAUGGGCCCGCGGCGCAUUAGCUAGUUGGUGAGGUAACGGCUCACCAAGGCGACGAUGCGUAGCCGACCUGAGAGGGUGAUCGGCCACACUGGGACUGAGACACGGCCCAGACUCCUACGGGAGGCAGCAGUAGGGAAUCUUCGGCAAUGGGCGAAAGCCUGACCGAGCAACGCCGCGUGAGCGAGGAAGGCCUUCGGGUCGUAAAGCUCUGUUGUCAGGGAAGAACAAGUACGAGAGUAACUGCUCGUACCUUGACGGUACCUGACCAGAAAGCCACGGCUAACUACGUG
This 496-nucleotide ribosomal RNA is filed under the name uncultured bacterium. RNAcentral's name for it is "bacterial SSU rRNA". It matches the Rfam family "Bacterial small subunit ribosomal RNA", at positions 28 to 507 of the family's 1533-position model. The record is from RNAcentral.